AGCGUAGGUGGGUUGGUAAGUCAGUGGUGAAAUCUCCGAGCUUAACUUGGAAACUGCCAUUGAUACUAUCAAUCUUGAAUACUGUGGAGGUAAGCGGAAUAUAUCAUGUAGCGGUGAAAUGCUUAGAUAUGAUAUAGAACACCAAUAGCGAAGGCAGCUUACUACGCAGUUAUUGACACUGAGGCUCGAAAGCGUGGGGAUCAAACAGGAUUAGAUACCCUGGUAGUCCACGCCCUAAACUAUGGAUACUCGACAUCAGCGAUACACAGUUGGUGUCUGAGCGAAAGCAUUAAGUAUCCCACCUGGGAAGUACGUCCGCAAGGAUGAA
This 328-nucleotide ribosomal RNA is filed under the name uncultured Niastella sp. RNAcentral's name for it is "bacterial SSU rRNA". It matches the Rfam family "Bacterial small subunit ribosomal RNA", at positions 568 to 898 of the family's 1533-position model. The record is from RNAcentral. Lineage: Bacteria; Pseudomonadati; Bacteroidota; Chitinophagia; Chitinophagales; Chitinophagaceae.